Felis catus (domestic cat) is the source of this 1112-nucleotide long non-coding RNA. RefSeq lists it as uncharacterized. The record is from RefSeq and is a predicted model, not a curated record. The transcript has 2 exons. Lineage: Eukaryota; Metazoa; Chordata; Mammalia; Carnivora; Felidae.
AAGAAGCCUUAACUUCAACGUAUGGAACUACAGGGAAGUAGUUACUUUUGAUCUCAUCCCCUAGGUAACGUGUGUUGUGAGCUUCAGAGCCUGGUGACCACGUCAUCGUCCACUCCAUACCCUGCACGUUCAUGGUAGUUCUUGUCUUUAUAUAAAUGAUGCAUUAUGACUACAAACUGGGUAGAGCUUCACGCAGGGAUGUUUGUGAUCUGAUGUGAUUUAUUCUUCACUUUCCAGAAGGGGGACAUUUUCAUCAGUUACCCAAGGAGUCAGUACUUGCUGCACUGAGUGGAGAAGAUUGUGUGCCCACAGUUGGUGCAGGGGAGGUGCAUGGGGCCUUCACUGCGGCUAAGACCUCUCAUCCUCCACGGACGCACAGGCACAUGAGCCCCAUGCAUUGCACGGACAAUGCCAAGGACGAUGCAUUGAUUCACUUGGGAGACAACCCACCUGGAAGAACUUCAGAUCCAUUCCAACUCCAGUGCUCUAAGUAGUAGUCUCAGUACUACUGUUAUCGAAGGUGUGAUUGUUAGUGAAGGAAAGAUGGAUGUUUUUCCCAACAUCGACAAAAAGACAAUUUUCCUGUAAGAGUAUCUCUCGUGACUGGGAAUGUUUAAGGGAAGGGUGUCUCAGCCUCUCUGGCUCAUCAACAAUAAUUUAUUAUGAGUCCUAUUAUUUAUAAGCCCUCCCCAGGCUUACGAAGGGUUUCAGCUUAUAUGUCAUUUUCUUUCCUUCACCCCUACGGGAUGGGAAGCAUCCCUGUGUCCCUGCAUAGAAAGGCGCCAGGCUGGGUUCAUGUAAAUAUUUCAACUUUGUGUUCAGAAAAGAAAUGAUUACAGGCCAAAGUUAUAUUCUAACUCACUUAAAACAAGAGAGAAAUUAAUUUUAACAGAAUCUAUUGAUGAAGAAGGAUGAAUAUAUGAUUCAUUCCCUUUCUUGAUUUAAUAUGGAUUUUUAUUCCAUGUAGUAUUACUUCCUGAGUGCAAAGACUAAAUUCAUCUUUUACUUUUCAAUCAGUUAUCAUCUUAUCAUCGAAUAGAACACAAUUAAUUGGACACUUAGUUUAUUCAAUCAUUGUAGUUGCCAAAAAAACAAUAAACUAUUCAAUUUUU